AUCAACCAAAAUUCACAACAACAAAAUUGACGGCCAUACCUAAUUAACAAGGCAAGCACUCAUCUAUUGCAUGUGAUGUUCUGUCUUGCUAAGAUCUGCAAACUCUGCCCAGGAUAAAUGCAUGUGAAAAAUACUCUUCUUUAAAAUUUUCCUAAAUUUAUUUCUCUCAGUACCUGUCCUGCAGAAACACAGAAGCUGGAGGCUGGAGAAGUGAGCACAACCGUUUCUUUAACCAGCUCAUCAUCCUUGAUUUUUUUCAUGCAGGUCCUUGGAUAUUUGUGUUAUGGCAAAUACUGGUGAAUCUCUCUGAAUUUGCAUUUGACUCACAGCACUGGGCUGAACCCUGAGCACGUUGUUCCCCUGUUUCCAGGGAAUCUUCAGAGGGCCUGGCUAAAUUCAUGAUUCAUGUGUUUAAACCACAAGCUCCUUGGAAAUAGAUUGAGGAUAUUAAAAUAGAUAAUGUAACCAGUUAAAACAACAACAACAAAAGCCUAGCAAACACCUGUGACCAGCAGUUGUAACUGAGUAUAUGUAAGUCCAGAAUUUAAAUAUACAAUUCAGUGACAGUCCUAUGUGUAAUUUCAGUGCUGAUGAAAGGACCUUCUAAGAUCUAUAUGCUACCUGGGAAAUAAUUGCUAGGCAUAGAUCAGUGAGACUUGUGCUAAGUAAUUAGAUUCUGAAAAAGCAGCCAUAUGAUUGUGCAUAAUGUUAUCCAAAUAUUAGUUGUGCUACAACCGGGUACUAUUAUAACAGCUCUUAACUCAUUCAUGCAAGUCUUAACCUACUACUUUUAGUGAAGUGUUUCUGUAAAAUAAUGGUCUUAAAUUACCAGUUGCCACUGCAUAAAACACUCUUGUGAUGGGAUCAGGUACGCAGCAAUGGCAGCAGCUGGGGCAGAGCUAACGGAGGCCCCAGCAUCCUCCCAGCUGUAGAAGCAGCUGGGUAGAGAGGGGCAGCCCUGUUCUGUGGGAAGAUGGGAGCCAUGGGAAGGAUAUCAGCAGGGAACAAGUAGGCUUCUGGCUACUUUUCCUGUGGCACCUGGGCUGGCUGCAGGAAGGGGAAGUUGGUCUGGGCUCUUGGCUGCCUGGGAGAUGGUGCAACCGUGGCAGGCUCACAGAAGUCAGAGUGGAUCACAAAUACUAAAUGCAUGUCAAGGGAGAUGCUGUCUUCUAUAAAUGUAGAGUGACAUGUCGAGUCACAGUCUGAGUGGUCCCACUGCUCGGUUGUCACCUCCAGUGAAGGAGUG
This 1246-nucleotide long non-coding RNA is filed under the name Anser brachyrhynchus (Pink-footed goose). RNAcentral's name for it is "lncRNA (ENSABRG00000019850.1)". The record is from RNAcentral. Lineage: Eukaryota; Metazoa; Chordata; Aves; Anseriformes; Anatidae.